ACGAAGGGUGCAAGCGUUAAUCGGAAUUACUGGGCGUAAAGCGCGCGUAGGUGGUUCGUUAAGUUGGAUGUGAAAGCCCCGGGCUCAACCUGGGAACUGCAUCCAAAACUGGCGAGCUAGAGUACGGUAGAGGGUGGUGGAAUUUCCUGUGUAGCGGUGAAAUGCGUAGAUAUAGGAAGGAACACCAGUGGCGAAGGCGACCACCUGGACUGAUACUGACACUGAGGUGCGAAAGCGUGGGGAGCAAACAG
RNAcentral lists this ribosomal RNA (251 nucleotides) under uncultured prokaryote. RNAcentral describes it as "partial 16S ribosomal RNA". It matches the Rfam family "Bacterial small subunit ribosomal RNA", at positions 525 to 775 of the family's 1533-position model. The record is from RNAcentral.